RNAcentral lists this ribosomal RNA (491 nucleotides) under uncultured bacterium. RNAcentral's name for it is "partial 16S ribosomal RNA". It matches the Rfam family "Bacterial small subunit ribosomal RNA", at positions 29 to 506 of the family's 1533-position model. The record is from RNAcentral.
AGUGAACGCUGGCGGUAGGCCUAACACAUGCAAGUCGAACGGCAGCACAGUAAGAGCUUGCUCUUACGGUUGGCGAGUGGCGGACGGGUGAGGAAUACAUCGGAAUCUACUUUUUCGUGGGGGAUAACGUAGGGCAACUUACGCUAAUACCGCAUACGACCUACGGGUGAAAGCAGGGGAUCUUCGGACCUUGCUCGAUUGAAUGAGCCGAUGUCGGAUUAGCUAGUUGGCGGGGUAAAGGCCCACCAAGCCGACGAUCCGUAGCUGGUCUGAGAGGAUGAUGGGCAACACGGGAACGGAGACACGGUCCAGACUCCUACGGAAGGCAGCAGAGGGGAAUAUCGGACAAGGGGGGCAAGCCUAAUGCAGACAGACCGGGUGGGGAAAGAAGGCCUUCGAGUUGUAAAGCCCUUUUGUUGGGAAAGAAAAGCAGCAGGUUAAUGCCGCGCUGUUUGAACGUAACCAAUAGAAUAAGCACCGCCAAACUCCUG